GGCGGCGUAGUGCAGUGGUUUAGCAUCUCCUCCCCCCAAUCGGUCUCGCCUCGGCGAUGCCAUCUGACUGAUAAUUUGAGGCAGAGGAAGACGUUGGUUCGACUCCGACCGUCGCCA
Molecule: transfer RNA, 117 nt
Rfam family: tRNA
About the family: Transfer RNA (tRNA) molecules are approximately 80 nucleotides in length. Their secondary structure includes four short double-helical elements and three loops (D, anti-codon, and T loops).
Source: Rfam